AUGAGAUUAUAUUCUCAUGAAAAGGAGGGAGGGGUGCCACGGCCGAUGAGUAUGAUGGAGAGAUUCGGAGAUGCUUUAGUAAUAUGUGAGUUGGAAGAUAUGGGGUCCUCAGGAGAUCAAUUCACUUGGCGAAAGAGGAGGUUAUGUGAAUAUCUUGAUAAGGCUAUGUGUAAUGGGCAAUUUCAUGAUCUCUUUCCGCAUGCUAAGGUGGUUAAUGCAGCACACAUAAAAUCUGACCAUCGACUGGUCUUUGUGGACAUAGAGGGCGAUGUGCCAGGUGACUAG
Molecule: ribosomal RNA, 285 nt
Filed under: Triticum aestivum (bread wheat)
Lineage: Eukaryota; Viridiplantae; Streptophyta; Magnoliopsida; Poales; Poaceae
Description: partial small subunit ribosomal RNA
Source: RNAcentral